GUAACAACUCAAGGCACAACUUCCAGAUUGACAUCACUCAUCCGUUUGGAAAACAGACGGGGUAAGUGCUUCCAAUGAAGCGAUGUAGGUGGGCAUUACGACCAAUACGCUCUCAACAUAGUAGGGUUUUUUUUCUCGGUCCUUUGUGAUAUUCGGCAAAACUCGGUAAAAAUGAACUUAAAGGCGUGUCGGGAACGUACUUGGUACAACUUCUUCCGAAAUAUGUCUUUGUAAAUUGGCCUUGAGCCCAAUCAUACAUAUGGGAGGAUUGCAAUCUGCUUCUGGAACUCGACAACCAUCAUCCGAGCCGCGAAACCCACUUGAUCCCCUGAUGUUUAAAUGUCGCUCCCGGAUCCGGCCUGAUAUUCUCGAGGACUCUUGGCUUUUUUUCCGUCUCUGACAAGUAGCCUCACUCGAAUCCUCGGAGGUCGGACUAUUUGAAGAAUCCUCGAACAAAGGUGGAUUGCACAUGAUUUAUGGGUCAAUAUCAGCUUCAUCCGCAGGUCUAAGUGAUUGAGCUGAAAUUGUCCUACUCGGCCCAAUGAAGACUAGCUUUAUUCACUUUAUUCGUUUCAGCCCCAAGUUGAAUAGAUCCCGGUAUAAUCGAGGUUCUCGUUUAAAGAAAAAAACUGGAGGAGUGAUUUGACACAAAACUAAACACGGAUCUUGAGGUGUCACCCCAUGGACCUAACAGCGUAUUUUUAGCCACGAAUGGGCUUGGCAUAAUCUUGGCUUGAUGGUAUUGCUCAUUCUUGUAUGAGCGAUGGAACGAAAUGCAAUAUGUAAAAUAAUGCAACCAUCUGUUGGGCACUCAUUGAGCGUUAUGGUGUGUUGGUUAAAGAGAUGAAUCUUUCGUCGAUCAAGGUUAUUGUAAGCAAAAUAUGCUGCCCAAAUAUUACCAUUUACUACGUCCCUCAAUAAUCAUUCAUUACUAUGUUUGUCCAUGAAGUAUAUUCUGAGAGAUAUUUUAGUACAAAAACCCUUCGGCUAGCUAGUUGCCAGCCGGCCAUAACCCCCAUACUUCUUGAUAUCCUUAAUCCCUAAAAAGUAAUUGAACCGGAGGGGCAAAGUGGACACCAAUCGUGACGGAAUCAAAAUGUAACCCUGAUUAUUCUUU
This is a long non-coding RNA of Tigriopus californicus, 1117 nucleotides long. RefSeq lists it as uncharacterized. NCBI's taxonomy places the organism in Eukaryota, Metazoa, Arthropoda, Copepoda, Harpacticoida, Harpacticidae. The transcript is spliced from 3 exons. The record is from RefSeq and is a predicted model, not a curated record.